UACGAAGGGGGCUAGCGUUGCUCGGAAUUACUGGGCGUAAAGCGCACGUAGGCGGCUUUGUAAGUUAGAGGUGAAAGCCCAGGGCUUAACUCUGGAAUUGCCUUUAAGACUGCAUCGCUAGAAUCGUGGAGAGGUGAGUGGAAUUCCGAGUGUAGAGGUGAAAUUCGUAGAUAUUCGGAAGAACACCAGUGGCGAAGGCGACUCACUGGACACGUAUUGACGCUGAGGUGCGAAAGCGUGGGGAGCAAACAGG
Molecule: ribosomal RNA, 253 nt
Filed under: uncultured bacterium
Lineage: Bacteria
Description: partial 16S ribosomal RNA
Rfam family: Bacterial small subunit ribosomal RNA
Source: RNAcentral